UUUUAUGUAGUUUAUUUAAAACAAAUUAUUUUCAAUGAUUAAAAAAAUUCAAUUUCAUAAAAU
This 63-nucleotide transfer RNA is filed under the name Sogata hakonensis. Its description in RNAcentral is "tRNA-Glu". Lineage: Eukaryota; Metazoa; Arthropoda; Insecta; Hemiptera; Delphacidae. The record is from RNAcentral.